Long non-coding RNA from Rhinopithecus bieti (black snub-nosed monkey), 2635 nucleotides. Lineage: Eukaryota; Metazoa; Chordata; Mammalia; Primates; Cercopithecidae. The record is from Ensembl.
CAUAAAAGUUUUGAAAAUGUCAUCUUAAAACUGUGUGAGGGAGCAAAUGGGUUUUCCAAUCCUGAGGGGCGACUGGAUGUACUGGGGUGAGGGAGCUUCACAGAGGAGGUGCUGAGAGCUGCCCCUCGACAGGAGAAAGGUGUCUGCCAGUCGGACAAGGGCCCAGCCAGUUGCCCACUGGAGGCUGAGGUUUUAGGAGCAAAAGGCUGGCUCCUGGCACACUCACUAGGGUGCCCAUUACCAUAGCAACUGAUAUCAUGGCCAUUUGGUAGACACCCAAGUGGGCGGAGCAGCUUUGUGACGGUCAACAGUGCAGCUGCAGAUGGCACCGCCCUUUGCUGGCCCCUGGUGAGUGUGUGUGCAUGGCUCUCUCCUUUCUCGGUGGCAGCGGUUGUUCAGUGGCAUCCUGAAUUACCCUGGCUUCAAACUCCAACUGCCUUUCCUUGCCCCACAUGCAGUCCUAGAGCCCACAGCGUGCUAAGAGGACAGGACCACUGUGCACCCCCAGGCUUCUGGAAAUCAGGUGGCACUUUCCAUCCUUGCCACUCAAGAGGAUCAAGACAAUGAGGCCGAGUUUGAAAACUGGACAAGAAGAAGCUCAAAAAGAGCAGAGCAGAGGCUUUAUCUUUUGUUGUCUUAGUGAGAAGGAAAAUCUUUGGUAAAGUUGGUAUAUGGGAGCGGGUCUUGGCCUGGAGGGUUUCCAAUGGACUUGAAAAGAUACUUGGGCCUUUUUGCCAUCUGAACCCAGCUCAGAAGUUUGUAGGGGAAGCAAAUUUGAACUGCAGACCUCAAAAUUGUAUUUGUGUUGACUGGGGAGCCACAGAGCCAGGUGUGCAAAGUCUGUUGAGAACUGGGUGGCUCCACGACAGCUGUCCUCCAAGCAGUGACUCAGGGAUCAUGGUGUGGCUUUGUGAUCCGAGCUGGCUCAGGUACUUCUAGUCAUGUGGACAGAAGAGAAAGAGUACAAGGAGCACCAGGUUCUUAACCGCCUGAAUCAGAAGUGCGACGCCCUUGGCUACAACCAUCUUGCCACCCUCCUAACUGCGGAAGGAGCCCAUGGAUACUGGUGAGCACAGCACCCUCUGCAGCGCCUCAGUGUCCAAGCUCUUCAGCAAAUCCCCCUCUCCACUCCUAGAGAAACUUCUUUUCUACACAUAUCCCUUAGGAACGGUCUGAAACGUACACGAUACUAAGGUAAAAAGGAAGUAUAAAUGAGUGACAUGUACUCUUCCUCAGAAAUACACUGUUUUAGGCAGGCUAAACAUCUUAACCUAAGACACAGCUCUUUCAGCUACUACUUUAAUGCAGAAGGAUAAGCUUCUGCUGAGCGAUGCUGGAGUUCUGCUAAUUUCCAGGCUCCUGAAAUGCAGGUGAACGUAGGUAAGGAUGGCCUUGCUGACGGCUCAGCACCACACAGUACCCAGGCCCAACCCUGGCCUUAGAGGCCAUCACUCUUGGGAGUAACAAGCGUGGAAGGCGUUCUCACGGGAGAUCCCCAUGUUAAAUGAGGAGAGAGCUCAGUCUUUGGUUCCUCUGGCCCCGUGCUUGUCCCAUUUGCCUUUUAAUUUUCUGAUCAGACGUAUGCUUGGGGUUUUGAGCUCACAAACGGUGUGGGUGAUUCCCAGUGGGUAGCUCUGUCGUUCAGUGGGUGACCCUGAACUUUAUUUUUUGUGCUCUGAUUUAGAACAGAACUCUACAGAAAGAAGAUGAGAAAAAGUCUUCUUGGCUCACAAUUACAAUGUAAAUCAGUAACGAAGCUUUAAGUUCAGUGUGUGGGGAAAAACAUUGCUUUCUGUCCAUCUAUCUCCUGGUUCCAAUUUCUAAGACCCAAGAAGACAGCUGGAGAGAACGAAGAGGAAAUAAAAUUGUAGGGAACUUGGGAGAAAUAAUCAAAGGGAGGUUGAACUCAGGAUGGAAACAUCAGGCCAAGGUAGCACCCUGAAGGCCCGUUGCCAGCCCUGGUGCCCGUAUGUGUUUUGAUUGGCCUCUUGUUUGUUGGUCCACACAGUAUUUUGAAGAAAAUAUGAAUUAGUAGCCAACUUUUAAAUACCUGGAGAUUUCAUAUAAAAAGUCAGAUUUCUGCUUUCUCUUGAAAAAUUAGAGUUUGGAGCAGCAAUAAGCCCAUAUUCCAGCAAAGCAACAGUCGGCCUGAGCCCAGCAGGGGCUGCCCCUUCAGACAGGGCAGGGCUUGUCCCCUUCAAGUUGACGAUGGCCCUACCCCUCCCUAUGGCUCCCUGCACAAGCCUCCAUGUCACUCCUCUUCAUCUGGGAUUUCUCAGUCCUGGUGGGUCUGAGAAAUCACAGUUGCUUGGACUCCGGAGGGAUUUGAGUCUGUAAGCCCUGACCUGGGGAACGUCUAUGCUUUGCAAGUUGCUGAAGAGCACUGAAGGCAGUGAUGGAUUGGUGAUGACAGACACCUGAAUACAAGGGAAGAGCAGGAGAAUAGAGUCACGGGAGUCUCAUUGCUUCAGAGAAUUCAUGCGUUUUGAUGGUCAUGUGUCAGGAGGAUAAACUGGGACUCCUUCUGUCUCCGUUGUCACUGAUGCCCCAAAGGCCAAGCCUGGUGCAGUUUGAUAGCUAUGCCCUUCUUGUCCUCUUUUCAACUACUGGUAAUAAACUUUACUGAAACCGGAUU